This 433-nucleotide ribosomal RNA is filed under the name uncultured bacterium. Its description in RNAcentral is "partial 16S ribosomal RNA". It matches the Rfam family "Bacterial small subunit ribosomal RNA", at positions 29 to 507 of the family's 1533-position model. The record is from RNAcentral.
AACGAACGCUGGCGGCAUGCCUAACACAUGCAAGUCGAACGAGACCUUCGGGUCUAGUGGCGCACGGGUGCGUAACGCGUGGGAACCUGCCUUUAGGUUCGGAAUAACUCAGAGAAAUUUGAGCUAAUACCGGAUGAUGUCUUCGGACCAAAGAUUUAUCGCCUUUAGAUGGGCCCGCGUUGGAUUAGCUAGUUGGUGGGGUAAAGGCCUACCACGGCGACGAUCCAUAGCUGGUCUGAGAGGAUGAUCAGCCGCACUGGGACUGAGACACGGCCCAGACUCCUACGGGAGGCAGCAGUGGGGAAUAUUGGACAAUGGGCGAAAGCCUGAUCCAGCAAUGCCGCGUGAGUGAUGAAGGCCGUAGGGUUGUAAAGCUCUUUUACCCGAGAUGAUAAUGACAGUAUCGGGAGAAUAAGCACCGGCUAACUCCGUG